RNAcentral lists this ribosomal RNA (456 nucleotides) under uncultured bacterium. RNAcentral describes it as "bacterial SSU rRNA". It matches the Rfam family "Bacterial small subunit ribosomal RNA", at positions 8 to 507 of the family's 1533-position model. The record is from RNAcentral.
AGAGUUUGAUCAUGGCUCAGAACGAACGCUGGCGGCAGGCCUCAAACAUGCAAGUCUAGGGGGUGUAGCAAUACAUCACCGGCGGACGGGUGCGUAACGCGUGGGAAUAUACCUAUCGAUUCGGAACAACUGAGGGAAACUUCAGCUAAUACCGAAUACGUCCUAACGGAGAAAGAUUUAUCGUCGAUAGAUUAGCCCGCGUUCGAUUAGCUAGUUGGUGGGGUAAACGGCCCACCAAGGCGACGAUCGAUAGCUGUUCUGAGAGGAAGAUCAGCCACACUGGGACUGAGACACGGCCCAGACUCCUACGGGAGGCAGCAGUUGGGAAUCUUGGACAAUGGGGGAAACCCUGAUCCAGCCAUGCCGCGUGAGUGAUGAAGGCCUUCGGGUUGUAAAACUCUUUCGCGCACGACGAUAAUGACGGUAGUGCGAGAAGAAGCUCCGGCUAACUUCGUG